Molecule: small nucleolar RNA, 130 nt
Organism: Sorex araneus (European shrew)
Lineage: Eukaryota; Metazoa; Chordata; Mammalia; Eulipotyphla; Soricidae
Source: Ensembl
CUCCAUGUCUCUUUGGGACCUGCUGCCUGUGGCAGCCUCCCUUCCUAACCAUGGAAGAGCAAACCUUGUUGAUUGGCAAAGCUGGCACUACGUCGUUGAUAUCAGGUUCUGACUUGCACAAGGGACAGUU